This 253-nucleotide ribosomal RNA is filed under the name uncultured prokaryote. RNAcentral describes it as "partial 16S ribosomal RNA". It matches the Rfam family "Bacterial small subunit ribosomal RNA", at positions 525 to 777 of the family's 1533-position model. The record is from RNAcentral.
ACGAAGGGGGCUAGCGUUGCUCGGAAUUACUGGGCGUAAAGGGCGCGUGGGCGGAUACUUAAGUUGGGGGUGAAAGCCCAGGGCUCAACCCUGGAAUAGCCUUCAAUACUGGGUAUCUUGAGUUCGGGAGAGGUGAGUGGAACUCCGAGUGUAGAGGUGAAGUUCGUAGAUAUUCGGAAGAACACCAGUGGCGAAGGCGACUCACUGGCCCGAUACUGACGCUGAGGCGCGAAAGCGUGGGGAGCAAACAGGA